GAUGAACGCUGGCGGCGUGCCUAAUACAUGCAAGUCGAACGAAACUUCUUUAUCACCGAGUGCUUGCACUCACCGAUAAAGAGUUGAGUGGCGAACGGGUGAGUAACACGUGGGCAACCUGCCCAAAAGAGGGGGAUAACACUUGGAAACAGGUGCUAAUACCGCAUAACCAUAGUUACCGCAUGGUAACUAUGUAAAAGGUGGCUAUACUACCGCUUUUGGAUGGGCCCGCGGCGCAUUAGCUAGUUGGUAGGGUAAAGGCUUACCAAGGCAAUGAUGCGUAGCCGAAUUGAGAGGUUGAUCGGCCACAUUGGGACUGAGACACGGCCCAAACUCCUACGGGAGGCAGCAGUAGGGAAUCUUCCACAAUGGGCGAAAGCCUGAUGGAGCAACGCCGCGUGGGUGAAGAAGGUCUUCGGAUCGUAAAACCCUGUUGUUAGAGAAGAAAGUGCGUGAGAGUAACUGUUCACGUUUCGGCGGUAUCUAACCGGAAAGCCACGGCUAACUACGUG
RNAcentral lists this ribosomal RNA (512 nucleotides) under uncultured bacterium. RNAcentral's name for it is "partial 16S ribosomal RNA". It matches the Rfam family "Bacterial small subunit ribosomal RNA", at positions 28 to 507 of the family's 1533-position model. The record is from RNAcentral.